This is a long non-coding RNA of Brassica napus (rape), 1602 nucleotides long. RefSeq lists it as uncharacterized. The transcript is spliced from 4 exons. NCBI's taxonomy places the organism in Eukaryota, Viridiplantae, Streptophyta, Magnoliopsida, Brassicales, Brassicaceae. The record is from RefSeq and is a predicted model, not a curated record.
UUUAGUCAUACGGUGCGUUCCAUUUACCAGACAGAGUUCUUAAACUUAAAGCAUUGGGCUUAACUAAACAUUAUAGAUCGAGAGUUUUUCUCAAUAUCACUCAGCGACUCGAAGAAACUUUUCACCGUUAAAGAAACAAUCAACUUACCGGUCACGAUAACUGGAGACGUUACGGGAGAGACUCAAUCGAAGGGUCAUUUUAACGAUGUCAGGAUUUGUCAUUGAAUGCCUCUCUAUUACUUCUUUUCGGUGAAUCUUCGACUUUAAAAAGGACUGAGUUCGGAUACGAGUCGACCGAUUGGCAUCUAAAUCCGUAUACGUACUUCGUUUGAGGUAAUCUGUGGACCUGUAACCAAUCCUCCAUCUCCCUGGCUACAAAGGUUUCUGGGGAUUUUGGAGAAAAUAGAGGAGCUGAGCUAUGGUGGAAAAGUUAGAAGCUUUCAGAAAUGCAAGUUUACCCUGAUUCCUUUAUUGUUUACAUAAGUCUCCACAAUUACUUUCCUAUAUUUACUCUCAAUUCUUGGACCUUUGACUUUCCUUACUUCAUUGCACCGCAGACUGCUGAGUGGUGCUCAGGUAUAUGCUACCAAUACAAUCCCUAUAUUCUGGACUGUGUUUUGAUGAGUUGUCGCUGUCACUGUGAGGCUACCAGCUACAUUGGUGACAAUAAGCUAAAGGUGGAUUCAAACCACCUGAAAGAGGCCAAAGAAAAAACUUGAAUCUUUUGGUCUGACAGUGGAUUUGAUGGGUGGGUUUGACAAAUGGCAUGAGUGUUUCUAGAGCUUGAAAACCCAUCUAAUCUGAAGUAUACUAGGACCUAAGGAGUCUAACGUUAUCAUUGCACCAGUUUACAUUCUAAAGAAAAUGUUUUAAGAUACCUUAAUCCAAAGAUCAUGCCUCUAUAGUAGUGGAAUGUGUCGGACAGACUCUUUGGUUGAACCUAGAUGCGUCUUUUUACUUAUUCUAUUCCUUAAAGAAUGUAAUUUAAUUUUUUCCUUUGUGUGAUUCUAAUAUUUCUACGUUCAUGCGAUCGUUUUGAAGGAUUGAGUUCAUAAGUCUGUGAUUACAUUCAUGCGAUCUUCUUGAAGGUAGUACGUUCUCUGUCUCUGUUAGUAAUAUAUACUAUCUCCAACGACUAUUUUACUUUGGUCCAUUGUUGUAGACAGAUUGAGGUGACAAACGCGGCCAUAGCAUCGUUGGAAAAAAAAUGCGGGAGGGAAGAUAGCCACAUUGCAGCUGGUGCACAUGGAGUGUAAUUACCUUAUUGUUUACUACUUCAAGAAGCUUCUCGGGAAGUAAGAUAGCCACGUUGCAGCUGGUGGACAUGGAGGGCAAUUAACUUACUGUUGAUUUCUUCAAGAAGCUUCUACAGCUUGGAGAAUGCCCACUGCUUUGUUCGGUUGUAGUCGGUGGUUCAGACCCGGAGGAAACUUCUAUGUAAUUUAAUUUUUGUGAGAUGAUCUACCCGGGAAGACAUCAUGCCGUAUUUAUUUUACUACAACAACACAGUUUGUUCUGAUGACUCUUUUCUUUGUCUGCGCUUUUGACCAUUAAUUACCUUAUAUGCAUAUGCUCCAACAUAUCAACGAUAUGUUAUCUAGA